AGGGGAGUGGCAGAAAGAAAAUGUGUUUGACUUGAAAUCAAUGGAUGAAGGUUAGAUUCCUUCCUCCUCUU
This 71-nucleotide transfer RNA is filed under the name Phyllophorella liuwutiensis. RNAcentral's name for it is "tRNA-Ser". It matches the Rfam family "tRNA". Rfam says of the family: Transfer RNA (tRNA) molecules are approximately 80 nucleotides in length. Their secondary structure includes four short double-helical elements and three loops (D, anti-codon, and T loops). Further hydrogen bonds mediate the characteristic L-shaped molecular structure. tRNAs have two regions of fundamental functional importance: the anti-codon, which is responsible for specific mRNA codon recognition, and the 3' end, to which the tRNAs corresponding amino acid is attached (by aminoacyl-tRNA synthetases). tRNAs cope with the degeneracy of the genetic code in two manners: having more than one tRNA (with a specific anti-codon) for a particular amino acid; and 'wobble' base-pairing, i.e. permitting non-standard base-pairing at the 3rd anti-codon position. The record is from RNAcentral. Lineage: Eukaryota; Metazoa; Echinodermata; Holothuroidea; Dendrochirotida; Phyllophoridae.